Molecule: ribosomal RNA, 496 nt
Filed under: Streptococcus suis
Lineage: Bacteria; Bacillati; Bacillota; Bacilli; Lactobacillales; Streptococcaceae
Description: partial 23S ribosomal RNA
Rfam family: Bacterial large subunit ribosomal RNA
Source: RNAcentral
UAAGGUUAAGUUAAUAAGGGCGCACGGUGGAUGCCUUGGCACUAGAAGCCGAUGAAGGACGUGACUAACGACGAAAUGCCUUGGGGAGCUGUAAGUAAGCAAUGAUCCAGGGGUGUCCGAAUGGGGGAACCCGGCAGGUAAUGCCUGUCACUCACUACUGUUAAGGUAGUGAAGAGGAAGACGCAGUGAACUGAAACAUCUAAGUAGCUGCAGGAAGAGAAAGCAAAAGCGAUUGCCUUAGUAGCGGCGAGCGAAACGGCAGGAGGGCAAACCGAGGAGUUUACUCCUCGGGGUUGUAGGACUGCAAUGUGGACUUAAAGAGUAUAGAAGAACUACCUGGGAAGGUAGGCCAAAGAGAGUAAUAGCCUCGUAUUUGAAAUAUUCUUUAUACCUAGCAGUAUCCUGAGUACGGCGAGACACGCGAAAUCUCGUCGGAAUCCGGGAGGACCAUCUCCCAACCCUAAAUACUCUCUAGUGACCGAUAGUGAACCAGUAC